Molecule: ribosomal RNA, 512 nt
Filed under: uncultured bacterium
Lineage: Bacteria
Description: partial 16S ribosomal RNA
Rfam family: Bacterial small subunit ribosomal RNA
Source: RNAcentral
GAUGAACGCUGGCGGCGUGCCUAAUACAUGCAAGUCGAACGAAACUUCUUUAUCACCGAGUGCUUGCACUCACCGAUAAAGAGUUGAGUGGCGAACGGGUGAGUAACACGUGGGCAACCUGCCCAAAAGAGGGGGAUAACACUUGGAAACAGGUGCUAAUACCGCAUAACCAUAGUUACCGCAUGGUAACUAUGUAAAAGGUGGCUAUACUACCGCUUUUGGAUGGGCCCGCGGCGCAUUAGCUAGUUGGUAGGGUAAAGGCUUACCAAGGCAAUGAUGCGUAGCCGAAUUGAGAGGUUGAUCGGCCACAUUGGGACUGAGACACGGCCCAAACUCCUACGGGAGGCAGCAGUAGGGAAUCUUCCACAAUGGGCGAAAGCCUGAUGGAGCGACGCCGCGUGGGUGAAGAAGGUCUUCGGAUCGUAAAACCCUGUUGUUAGAGAAGAAAGUGCGUGAGAGUAACUGUUCACGUUUCGACGGUAUCUAACCAGAAAGCCACGGCUAACUACGUG